CCAGACUCCUACGGGAGGCAGCAGUGGGGAAUAUUGGACAAUGGGGGGAACCCUGAUCCAGCGGCGCCGCGUGAGUGAAGAAGUAUUUCGGUAUGUAAAGCUCUAUCAGCAGGGAAGAAAGAAAUGACGGUACCUGACUAAGAAGCCCCGGCUAACUACGUGCCAGCAGCCGCGGUAAUACGUAUGGUGCAAGCGUUAUCCGGAUUUACUGGGCGUAAAGGGAGCGCAGGCGGCGCGCCAAGUCUGAUGUGAAACCCCGGGGCUCAACCCCGGGCAUGCAUUGGAAACUGGCGGGCUGGAGUGCCGGAGAGGUAAGCGGAAUUCCUAGUGUAGCGGUGAAAUGCGUAGAUAUUAGGAGGAACACCAGUGGCGAAGGCGGCCUACUGGACGGUGACUGACGCUGAGGCUCGAAAGCGUGGGGAGCAAACAGGAUUAGAUACCCGGGUAGG
RNAcentral lists this ribosomal RNA (449 nucleotides) under uncultured bacterium. RNAcentral's name for it is "partial 16S ribosomal RNA". It matches the Rfam family "Bacterial small subunit ribosomal RNA", at positions 331 to 794 of the family's 1533-position model. The record is from RNAcentral.